RNAcentral lists this long non-coding RNA (468 nucleotides) under Phoenix dactylifera (date palm). Its description in RNAcentral is "long non-coding RNA (PDAC_LNC012897)". Lineage: Eukaryota; Viridiplantae; Streptophyta; Magnoliopsida; Arecales; Arecaceae. The record is from RNAcentral.
AUUAUAAUAUGAUUUAUCACUACCCAGCAUUUCAAUUAAGGAUUUCCUAUUCCUUAUGAUUCAUGUUCAAAGGUUGAGCUUUUUUCAUUUUCAAUGGCUAAUCUAACUCUUUUGUAAUAAAAUAAUCUUCUCUUUUCUACAUCAAUUGCUCAUGCAUUUUUUCAAACUCCAGUGCUUUUCACUAGAAAAAACAAGUAUAUGAACACUAGCAUAUAAGUCAGUCAGUUUCAAAGAAUAAAAUUCAAGAAACCAAUGUUUGAUAGCAAUUGUUAUGACGGAAUACCCAACCUGGUCACGAGUGGGAUAACUCUGGUUUUCCUUUGUUAUAUUCCCAAAUGCAAGAUAUGACACCAAUUAGUAUUAGGAUAAACAUUUUAGUGGACAUCAAAUAAUCCUAUAAAAACUUACGAUCUUUAAAUUCUCAUGAGCGCACAAUAUCAUAAAAAUAACAAUAAAAUUAUAAUAGAA